CUCGCUCAGGCACUGGAAAAGUAAUAAAAAUCCAGCGGCUAGUUUGCUUCUCCGCAGCCUCGCCAUAGCACGGAGCCUGCCGAGAGCUUUUGUGAAGGCCAUGCAGGGGAAGCUGUGAGGUUCGACUCUGCGAUGGGAAAAACAGACUGAAGUUCAGCACCUCUCGCAGCCUACAACCUCUGUUAGCUUGCUGCUAUCUUCUACUAGGAGACAAUGCCAAGACACAAGGCAUUCCACCACCUUUCCAAGACCAUCUUCAGCAUCUUCAUCUAUCACCUUUCCACAGCCUGAUUUGCUGUAUUUAUAGCAGCUGUCCCUCAUUAGCUUGGGGGGGGAGGGGGGACAAAAUCUGAAAAGUUAUACAAUUUCAAUCAUAACCUGCAUAAAGACCUACCCAUGGCUGAAAUUAUUAAAGUAGCAGGAACAGAGGUCUUAAAGAGGCAAUCCUGUGCUGGUAUUGUUCUUAGCAGCUAUUCCUUGACAUCAGACGUAACUAUCUUCGUGAACACAAGGAAGUGAUCUGCAUAGGUAGGAAGUGUUUGGGUUUCAGAGAGAAUAAUAUGGUAAAGAUAUUUGUUGAAGAUAAUUUCAGCUAUCAGUUUUUUUUGACCAUUGCUCUGAAAUAUCAAUAUUAAAGAUGUCAUUCUACUUUUUGAUUGAUUGCUGUGGUUAUGAAAACAAAGUAAUUUCUCCAAAUCUUAGCUCUGAAUUGAUCAUGUA
Cygnus atratus (black swan) is the source of this 720-nucleotide long non-coding RNA. RefSeq lists it as uncharacterized. The transcript has 3 exons. The record is from RefSeq and is a predicted model, not a curated record. NCBI's taxonomy places the organism in Eukaryota, Metazoa, Chordata, Aves, Anseriformes, Anatidae.